AGGGCGUAUGGUGGAUGCCUUGGCAGACAGUACCGAUGAAGGACGUUUGAGGAUGCGAUAAUCCUAGGGGAGCCUCCAACAUGGCUUUGAUCCUAGGGUCUCCGAAUGGGGGAACCCGCCGGCCGUCAUGGGCCGGCACCGCACAUUGUUGCGGGGGGUACGCAGGGAAGUGAAACAUCUCAGUACCUGCAGGAAGGGAUACUCCGUGAGUAGUGGCGAGCGAAAGCGGAUCAGACCAAACCGGUUGCGCGUGAUACCCGUCGGGGGUUGCGUUGCCGGUGUUGUGGGAUCACGUGUCCCGGUUCCGACGGGCCGGGCGGGAGUCAUAAAACGGCUUGCCAGGGGAACAGGCUUGAAGGCCUGGCCGUAGAGGGUGCCAGCCCCGUACCUGGACGUGAGCCGUCUUCCGAUCGUGUUGUCCCAAGUAGCGCGGGCCUCGUGGAAUCCCGCGUGAAUCAGCCCAGACCGUUGGGUAAGUCUAAGCAUACCUGUCUGACCGAUAGCGUACCAGUACCGUGAGGGAAAGGUGAAAAGCACCCCGGGAGGGGAGUGAAACAGUUCCUGAAACCGUGCGCCCACAAACCGUCGGAGCCUCUGUGUGGGGUGACGGCGUGCCUAUCGAAAAAUGAGUCUGCGAGUCAGUGGCGGGUGGCGAGCAUAAGCCGUGUGGCGUAUGCGUAGCGAAAGCGAGUCUUAAAAGGCGUUUUUAGUCGCUUGUCCUGGACCCGAAGCGGGAUGAUCUAGCCCUGGGCAGGUUGAAGCGCGGGUAAGACCGCGUGGAGGACCGAACCCACCUGGGUUGAAAACCGGGGGGAUGACCUGGGGCUAGGGGUGAAAGGCCAAUCAAAUUCCGUGAUAGCUGGUUCUCUCCGAAAUGCAUUUAGGUGCAGCGUCGGUCGAUUGCGUCGCGGGGGUAGAGCUACCGGAUGCUUGCGGGCCCUUGUUGGGUACCAACAGCAGCCGAACUCCGAAUACCGUUGACGUGUAUUCCGGCAGUGAGUCGGCGGGGGAUAAGCUCCGUCGUCGAGAGGGAGACAGCCCAGACCGUCGUCUAAGGUCCCGAAGCGUGUGCUAAGUGGGAAAGGAUGUGGAGUCGCAUAGACAGCCAGGAGGUUGGCUCAGAAGCAGCCAUCCUUGAAAGAGUGCGUAACAGCUCACUGGUCUAGUGGUUCCGCGCCGACAAUGUAGCGGGGCUCAAGCACACCACCGAAGACGCGGCAGCAAUCUUCAUGGUUGCUGGGUAGGAGAGCGUCCUGCGAGGGGCGAAGCGGCCGGGUAACCGUGCCGUGGACUUCGUGGGAGUGAGAAUGCAGACAUGAGUAGCGAGAGACGGGUGAGGAUCCCGUCCGCUGGAUGACCAAGGGUUCCGGGGCCACGUUCGUCGUCCCCGGGUGAGUCGGGUCCUAAGGCGAGGCCGACAGGCGUAGUCGAAUGGAUGAACGGGUGGAUAUUCCCGUACCGACCAUGGACCGGCAAAACCGAGACGGUGAGUACUAACCUCCGCCUCGUGGUGGUUCCUUCCUUCGGGUUGGUCCCGCCGCGUGGUGUUGGGACUGUAGCCGCAGUAGGUCAGCGCAGGGGUGACACGGAAUGGGAGCCGGCCGCGGAGGUGGUUUUCCGUGGUCAAGCACGCAGCCAGUCAUGUAGGCAAAUCCGCAUGGCGCGCAUGGCGAGGUGUGAUGAUGGGAGCCGUUAUGGCUCGAUAUCCGGUUGUCCAGGCCGUCGAGAAAAGCCUCGGCGUGAGGGCCAUGGCCGCCCGUACCCCAAACCGACACUGGUGGUCAGGUAGAGAAUACCAAGGCGAUCGAGCGAAUCCUGGUCAAGGAACUCGGCAAAUCACUCCCGUGCCUUCGGUAUAAGGGAGACCCGCUGGGGUGAACCGGCUAGCCCGGGGAGCUUUGGUGGGUGGCACAGACCAGGGGGUAGCGACUGUUUACCAAAAACACAGGUGCAUGCGAAGGCGAAAGCCGCUGUAUAUGCACUGACGCCUGCCCGGUGCCGGAAGGUUAAGAGGAUCCGUCAGUCCCUUCGGGGAUGAAGCGGUGAAUUCAAGCCCCGGUAAACGGCGGUGGUAACUAUAACCAUCCUAAGGUAGCGAAAUUCCUUGUCGGGUAAGUUCCGACCUGCACGAAUGGCGUAA
This 2140-nucleotide ribosomal RNA is filed under the name human gut metagenome. RNAcentral's name for it is "bacterial LSU rRNA". It matches the Rfam family "Bacterial large subunit ribosomal RNA", at positions 14 to 2004 of the family's 2925-position model. The record is from RNAcentral.